Molecule: ribosomal RNA, 472 nt
Filed under: uncultured organism
Description: partial 16S ribosomal RNA
Rfam family: Bacterial small subunit ribosomal RNA
Source: RNAcentral
ACACUCCUACGGGAGGCAGCAGUGGGGAAUUUUGGACAAUGGGCGAAAGCCUGAUCCAGCAAUGCCGCGUGAGUGAAGAAGGCCUUCGGGUUGUAAAGCUCUUUUGUCAGGGAAGAAACGGUGAAAGCUAAUAUCUUUUGCUAAUGACGGUACCUGAAGAAUAAGCACCGGCUAACUACGUGCCAGCAGCCGCGGUAAUACGUAGGGUGCAAGCGUUAAUCGGAAUUACUGGGCGUAAAGCGUGCGCAGGCGGUUUUGUAAGUCUGAUGUGAAAUCCCCGGGCUCAACCUGGGAAUUGCAUUGGAGACUGCAAGGCUAGAAUCUGGCAGAGGGGGGUAGAAUUCCACGUGUAGCAGUGAAAUGCGUAGAUAUGUGGAGGAACACCGAUGGCGAAGGCAGCCCCCUGGGUCAAGAUUGACGCUCAUGCACGAAAGCGUGGGGAGCAAACAGGAUUAGAUACCCGGGUAGUCCA